RNAcentral lists this unclassified non-coding RNA (290 nucleotides) under Hevea brasiliensis (rubber tree). Lineage: Eukaryota; Viridiplantae; Streptophyta; Magnoliopsida; Malpighiales; Euphorbiaceae. The record is from RNAcentral.
UCCUAAAGAGAGCCUAGCACCAAUGCAUACCAUUCUCAUCCAAUAGUACCGAAGUCUCUGGACAUGCUUAUGGAUGAACAAUGAGUCAAUGUGCUUAACUGCUUGCACUAGCUGGAAUGCUAGUGUAAACGGUUACCAAAUGCUUUUUUUUUCCCAAGUAAACGGUUACUAAAUGCUUUUCUUUUCAUUUUUAUCAAUUAUUAAUUAUGCUAUUGACAUGCAAAUUAUAUACUUACGUGAAUUUAUAAUACUUUAAAACUGUUAUAUUCACCUUCUUUAAAUGCACAUUU